GGAAGUAAAGUCGUAACAAGGUUUCCGUAGGUGAACCUGCGGAAGGAUCAUUAUUGUGUAACCGAGGUGCGAGGGCUGUCGCUGACCCGAAAGGUCGUGCACGCCCGAGUGCCCUCACACACAUCCAUCUCACCCCUAUGUGCACCACCGCGUGGGUCCCCCUUUGGCUUGUUCGGAGGGGGGCUUACGUUUUCACACAAACUUUGUAUGCAGUGUAGAAUGUAUUUUUUGUUUUUGCGAUCACGCAAUCAAUACAACUUUCAACAACGGAUCUCUUGGCUCUC
Molecule: unclassified non-coding RNA, 284 nt
Filed under: plant metagenome
Description: partial contains small subunit ribosomal RNA, internal transcribed spacer 1, and 5.8S ribosomal RNA
Rfam family: Eukaryotic small subunit ribosomal RNA (bases 1-53)
Source: RNAcentral